UCUCCACAACCUUUUUAGAAUCCAAAAUAUCUAGAUUUAAUUUAAAGGGGGUAAUUCUUGUAUUCUCUUUGCAAUUUAAUUAGAAAAUCUACAUUGAUUUUCCUUCCAACAGAAUUUACCUCAAACUCAAUGGGUUAGAACUGUUGAGCCAAUAUUACUAUGAAUAGAAUUAACUCCAUUAUCCUCCAAAUCUUUCUUCACUAAGAUUCUUAAUGUUUAACAUCAAUGCUACAUGUGAUAACUCAUAUAAGCAUCUCAAAAUCGAAAUCUCUACUCAAUAUUGUAUUUUACAAUGACAAAAAUUUCUGGUUAGAUCAGAAACCUAGACUUGAGUUCAAGUU
RNAcentral lists this long non-coding RNA (341 nucleotides) under Phoenix dactylifera (date palm). RNAcentral's name for it is "long non-coding RNA (PDAC_LNC020167)". Lineage: Eukaryota; Viridiplantae; Streptophyta; Magnoliopsida; Arecales; Arecaceae. The record is from RNAcentral.